MicroRNA precursor from Anolis carolinensis (green anole), 83 nucleotides. Lineage: Eukaryota; Metazoa; Chordata; Lepidosauria; Squamata; Anolidae. The record is from Ensembl.
UGCUUUGAGGGAUUAGAGUUCUCAGAAUCUUCCAAUUGGCACAUAUACACUGGAAGAUUUUGAGAACUAUGGUCUCCAAAAAC